RNAcentral lists this ribosomal RNA (532 nucleotides) under Libellago aurantiaca. Its description in RNAcentral is "partial 16S ribosomal RNA". It matches the Rfam family "Bacterial large subunit ribosomal RNA", at positions 1819 to 2619 of the family's 2925-position model. Lineage: Eukaryota; Metazoa; Arthropoda; Insecta; Odonata; Chlorocyphidae. The record is from RNAcentral.
GUCUUGUUGGUAAUAAUAAUAAGUCUGACCUGCCCAGUGAUUUUUAAUUUAACGGCCGCAGUAUUUUGACUGUGCAAAGGUAGCAUAAUCAUUAGUCUUUUAAUAGAAGGCUGGAAUGAAUGGUUUGACGAAACAUUAACUGUCUCAUUUUUAUUAUUUGAAUUUAACUUUUAAGUUAAAAGGCUUAACUUUUUUUGGAAGACGAGAAGACCCUAUAGAGCUUUAUUUGAUUUAUUUUAUUAAUUUUUAGUUUAUUAUUUUUAUUAAUUUUAAUUUGAAAUUUGUUGGGGUGAUAGUAAAUAUAAAUGUAACUUUUAUUAUUAUUUUUACAUUUAUUUAUGGGGGUUAGAUCCAUUGUUAUGAUUAUUAGACUGAGUUACCUUAGGGAUAACAGCGUGAUCUUUCCUUUGAGUUCUUAUUUUCGGAAAGGAUUGCGACCUCGAUGUUGGAUUAAGAUUACAUUUAGGUGUAGCCGCUUAUUUUGUAGGUCUGUUCGACCUUUAAUUUCUUACAUGAUCUGAGUUCAGACCGG